UUUUUCAUAUGUGGCGCAAAGUGAACCGAAUUUUCAUUUAUUUGGUUUUAUCAUGUGCGUUUCAGCUACAUCUGCAAGAGCUCUCAAGUCGGUCUUACAAGGAAUUUUGCUUUCUUCUGAAGGAGAGAGACUGAAUUCCAUGAACCUCCUCCUGUACAUGGCUCCUAUAGCUGUUGUGUUUCUACUUCAUGCAACACUCAUUAUGGAAGAAAACAUGAUUGGUAUCACCUUGUCUUUGCCCGAGAUGAUAUCAAGAUCAUUUGGUAUCUCUUAUUCAAUUCGGCACUAGCAUAUUUUUGUAAAUUUAACCAACUUUUUGGUCACGAAACACACCAGCGCCCUCACUUUACAGGUUCUAGGAAACGCGAAAGGAACUGUCGCUGUGGUGGUUUCGAUUUUAAUUUUUAGAAAUCCAGUGUCCGUUACUGGAAUGCUUGGUUAUACACUCACAGUCUUUGGGGUUUUACUCUAUGGUGAAGCCAAGAAACGAAGUAGCAAAUGAGACAUCAUCCUGCUGACAGGGUAUGCAUGCAACCGUUCGUAUAAUUUGUUUCCUUGUGAGGACAGUGACAACAUCCAAUUAGGCAAGUCGGGGUCGU
Long non-coding RNA from Hibiscus syriacus, 599 nucleotides. RefSeq lists it as uncharacterized. The transcript has 4 exons. NCBI's taxonomy places the organism in Eukaryota, Viridiplantae, Streptophyta, Magnoliopsida, Malvales, Malvaceae. The record is from RefSeq and is a predicted model, not a curated record.